CAUUGUAAACUUGAAACCCUGUUCUUUUAUACUACUCUGGAAAAAGUUACAAAAACCGAAAGGUGAACGAGUAUACGUCGUUUUAGACAUGCACUUUUGCCUCAUUGAAGAAAGAGGGUUCAGGUUCUGAAGUCCAAGGUAAAUUGGCAGUGGCAGAUUUUACACAGCUGUGCAGUGUGCAAAUGUGUACCAUGGUUAUCUCUGACAUAACCUAUAGACUUUGAGACUGCAGAGGAGAACACAUAACUCUUUUAUAGUCAGGUUGAUCUUACACAAUUCUAGUCAAAACCUGUAUGUCGUUGUUGAACGCAUAGAGGUCCUCUCUGUCUCUAUCUACUCCGCUACAAUGGUGUCUGGGAGGUUGUUGAUGUCCAUGGCCCUCCUCAUUCUCUGUGGGUGUCAGGGCACACACAGUGGUAAUGUGCUGGUCUUUCCUGGGGAGUUCAGUCACUGGCUCAACAUGCGUGUGAUCCUGGAAGAACUAGUGGAGCGAAACCAUAGUGUCACAGUGCUGGUUUGCUCUGCCUCACCUUCAGUCAACUAUACCAAACCAGAGGGUUUCAGCUUCAAGGUGUAUAAUGUUCCUUUUGAGAGACAUGAUUUGGAGUCUCUCCAGGAGGACUUCCUAAACUUCUGGAUAUACGAGGCUCAGAACGCCUCAAUGUUGCAGGUGGGCCUGAAGAUCCGGGAAGUGUUGGGAAGUAUGACAGCUCUACAUCUCAACAUGUGUGAUGCCAUGUUCCACAACAAAGAGCUUAUGGACACACUGAGACAGUGGGAGUUUGACGCAGUCCUUUCUGAUCCAAUGAUGCCAUGCAGUGACUUAAUGGCAGAUGCUCUUAACGUGCCUUUCAUUAUCUCGCUGAGGUUUACAUUUGGCAUGACUAUGGAGAGGCACUGCGGGCAGAUACCAGCGCCCCCCUCUUUUGUUCCUGCCCCCCCUUUGACGUACACAGACCAAAUGAGUUUUUUUGAGCGGGUUCACAAUUUUGUUACGUACAUGAUACAUUCUAGCUUUUUCUCUAUACACUGCCUACAGACCAUUGAUAAGUACUACAGUGGCAUCAAGGGCAGACCUACGACUUUAUGCGAGAUCUUGGGGAAGGCAGAUAUCUGGUUGAUACGGACCUACUGGGACUUUGAGUAUCCUCGACCUUUCCUUCCCAACUUUAAAUUUGUGGGAGGCCUUCACUGCAAACCUGCAAAACUCCUUUCAAAAGCCAUGGAGGACUUUGUGCAGAGUUCAGGAGAUGAUGGAAUCGUGGUGUUUUCCCUGGGAUCCAUGAUCAAGAACCUCACUAAAGAGAGGGGAAACACCAUAGCCACUGCAUUGGGACAAAUACCACAGAAGGUGCUGUGGAGAUACAGUGGGGAGAAACCAGAGACUCUCGCCCCCAACACAAGAGUUUAUGAAUGGAUUCCACAAAAUGAUUUACUUGGUCAUCCAAAGACCAAAGCCUUUGUCACCCACGGUGGGACUAACGGACUAUAUGAAUCCAUUUACCAUGGAGUCCCAAUGGUGGGCAUCCCCUUGUUCGCUGACCAGCCAGACAAUAUCAUCCACAUGAAAAACAAGGGAGCUGCUGUAAUGGUGGACUUCAACAAGAUGACAUCCAAAGACCUUGUGGAUGGCCUCAACAGUGUGAUCAAUGAUCCAUCGUAUAAAGCAAGCAUGAUGAGGCUGUCAAGAAUCCACCACGACCAACCAAUGAAACCCUUGGAUACAGCUGUGUUCUGGAUCGAGUUUGUGAUGCGUAACAAAGGGGCUAAGCACUUGAGGGUGGAGGCCCAUAACCUGAGCUGGUACCAGUACCACUCUCUAGAUGUGGCAGCUGCUCUGCUCACCAUAGUGGCACUUGUCAUAGUUGUAUCCAUUAAAACAUGCAUUUUCUGCUUCCGCAAGUGCUGCAAGAAAACUAAAUCGAGACAGAAGACAGAGUGACCCCUUUAAAUAAUGUGAAAGGGUCAUUCCACCAAAUUAGUACCUUGUUGGGUAGUGUAACUUCGUGAAAAACAAAUGUUUUAUUUCACCUCAUUUUAACAUUCUGUCACAAAUAUGCAUGUUGAACUUUAAUUGAAAAAAUGUUUUGCCCAUCAAGGUUAAAUGAAAAAAAUACUAAUUAUUAAUUGCCAAAUCAAGUAUAGCCGAGUUGACUGUAACAGGGUUGAUGAUGUCGUCUAAAAUCUGCCAUAAAUCCCGUUGCGACAGGUAAUCAAAGCUUGUUGUGUGCAACAGGGAGAACCGAAGACAGAAGAUAAGAGUGACCACCUGGAAUAAUGUUAAUGUCAGGUCUCAUCGUUACGACGAACGUGACAGAACAACCCACCAUAAAAGGUCCAAGCAGCGUGAAAAGGAGGAGCAGCGUUUGAUGGAGCAGAAAGCAUGAACAUGGGACGAAAUACUGGACGGUAAAGGAUCCUGGACGUGGGAGGAAAUACUGGCAGGAGAGGAUCGCCUACCAUAGAGGCAGGUGGAGAUAGCACGGGAGGAACGGCGAAAACACGCAACGAGGGUCCCCAGCCCGGGGCCUACGGCGAGGAUCUGCAGUCCAGAGCCUCCAACGAUGAUCCACGGAUCAGUGCUACAAGACGGACUCAGGCUAAAGAAGGGGGGCGGCGUCCAGAACCAGAGACGC
This is a non-coding RNA of Oncorhynchus mykiss (rainbow trout), 2636 nucleotides long. Lineage: Eukaryota; Metazoa; Chordata; Actinopteri; Salmoniformes; Salmonidae. The record is from RefSeq and is a predicted model, not a curated record.